GACCCGUCUUGAAACACGGACCAAGGAGUGUAACACAUAUGCGAGUUUGCGGGUGGAAAAACCCAUAAGCGCAACGAAAGUGAGUAUAAGGUGUGAUACCUUCUAAAUGGGGGUUGCAACAUCGACCGACCUUGAUCUUUUGUGAAGGGUUUGAGUAAGAGCAUAUUUGUUACGACCCGAAAGAUGGUGAACUAUACUUGAGCAGCCUGAAGCCUGAGGAAACUCAGGUGGAAGGGCGCAGCGGUACUGACGUGCAAAUCGUUCGUCAGACUUGAGUAUAGGGGCGAAAGACUAAUCGAACCAUCUAGUAGCUGGUUCCCUCUGAAAUUUCUCUCAGGAUAGCUGGAACAAUUUCAAGCAGUUUUAUCAGGUAAAGCGAAUGAUUAGAGGACUCGGAUCUCAAAGAGAUUUGACCUAUUCUCAAACUUUAAAUUGGUAAGAUCUAUUAGUUCUCUUAACUGAACUGGUAGGCAGAAUGCAUUGUUCCAAGUGGGCUUAUCGUGGUAAGCAUGUUAAGCAAUGAGGGAUGAACCUAACGCUGAGAUAAGGCGCCAAAAUUCCCGCUCAUCAGAUACCAUAAAAGGUGUUGAUUCAUAUAGACAGCAGGACGGUGGCCAUGGAAGUCGGAAUCCGCUAAGGAGUGUGU
Molecule: ribosomal RNA, 646 nt
Filed under: uncultured ciliate
Lineage: Eukaryota; Ciliophora
Description: LSU rRNA
Rfam family: Eukaryotic large subunit ribosomal RNA
Source: RNAcentral